This 450-nucleotide ribosomal RNA is filed under the name uncultured bacterium. RNAcentral's name for it is "partial 16S ribosomal RNA". It matches the Rfam family "Bacterial small subunit ribosomal RNA", at positions 354 to 796 of the family's 1533-position model. The record is from RNAcentral.
GUGGGGAAUCUUCCGCAAUGGACGAAAGUCUGACGGAGCAACGCCGCGUGAACGAUGACGGCCUUCGGGUUGUAAAGUUCUGUUAUACGGGACGAAUGGCGUAGCGGUCAAUACCCGUUACGAGUGACGGUACCGUAAGAGAAAGCCACGGCUAACUACGUGCCAGCAGCCGCGGUAAUACGUAGGUGGCAAGCGUUGUCCGGAAUUAUUGGGCGUAAAGGGCGCGCAGGCGGCGUCGUAAGUCGGUCUUAAAAGUGCGGGGCUUAACCCCGUGAGGGGACCGAAACUGCGAUGCUAGAGUAUCGGAGAGGAAAGCGGAAUUCCUAGUGUAGCGGUGAAAUGCGUAGAUAUUAGGAGGAACACCAGUGGCGAAAGCGGCUUUCUGGACGACAACUGACGCUGAGGCGCGAAAGCCAGGGGAGCAAACGGGAUUAGAUACCCCAGUAGUCC